UUAACGACGAAGAAUUUCUCUUUAUAUUUCUUGUUUAUUUUGUUUGUCAAAUCCAUAUAAACGGCGCGUAAUCAAUAUAGAAAUUUGAACGAACGUACAUUUAAGUGGAAUGAUUAUAUACAUAAUCUAGUUUGAAUUAUUCUCUAGAGAAAUAUGAUAAAAUAUUUAUAAUAUAAAACUAUAACGAUAUAUUUUCUUGAAUAAUAUUGUCAUGAUUCUUGGACAGUUUCAGCUUAAGUGUUAUAAUUUUGAUUGAUUGUGGGUGAUUUCCUGUGGCCUUCUCCUUGAGGAGAUUUUUCGACGUUUUGACCUUAACCCACAAGCUGGUCUAAGAAAACGGACAUUGAUCUCGAUGGAUCAGAAACGACCUAGAACCAUGGCAAGGAGAGCCAUGCGAACGUAAACACCAUUCUCGGCUUGCCUAAAAUACGCAGCGCGAGGAUCCAUGUCGAAUUCUGUACUUAUUUCGAAAACACGUGGAAGGGGAUGCAUGACUACCAUUUUCCUUUUGGCACGCGACAUUAAUUGCGGCGUCACUAUGAAAUGACCACAAACCUGCGAAAAAAUAAAUGACAUUUUUAUUAUGAUUUAUUUUCGCGUUUCAUCGAUAGGACUCAUUUGAAAAGUUCAAAAUUAAUUUACAUCGAAAUUCGUAAUUAGUGGUACAGGUGAUUGAACAUGAAAAUAUGAUUAAGUGGAAUGAACGUACACGCUUAAGAUAGUUAAUGAUCAGUAUCAGAUUCAUUAACAUCUCUUAUAUUUUAUACACGUAAGUAAUAUAUGUCAGUACAAAAUUAUUCUUUUUACCUGUCGAUAUUCAUCCUGGGUUACGAAACGUUCGCGUUGUAUACGUGUCAUAUAAAGUACGUCCGUAUCUGGCAAUGCCUCUUCAAGACUUUGAAACAUUUCCUGGGAUACGCCUCGCUUUGACACAUAAUUCAUUACGUGCUCGGGCAUUUCAAGUCCAGACGGAGAAACGUAUCGUAGUUCUACGUUAUACAAGGUCAGUAACCUGAAAUCGAGUUAAUAUGAUAAUUAUUAGUCGACAUAUUGACGGAUCGAAUAAAAGAUUUUUUUUUAAUUGGUAAUGAAUGCGAAACGAAAAUUCUAUGAAUCAAAAGAUUUGUACGAAUUGAUCGACUACUUUAGAUACAUUGAUCGAUAACAAAUAUUGAUCGUUAUUAUACGAUAAAAAUAUGAAAAUGAUAUCGAAAAGAGAUAAAUUAGAACGAUUGUUAUUAUACUGUAAUAUAUAGUAUAAAAAGUGAUAAUUCUGUGAUACGGAUUUUUAUAUUUAAUAAUUUACGAUCGAUGUGUAGGAUAGAGAAUUUGAUUUUAUUGAAUUAACCUGGCGAGAGAAUGAACGGUUCUUCCAUGCUUCAAAUCGCCGACCAUCGUAAUCGUCAGACCGUUCACAGUACCGAUCUCAUCACGAAUUGUGAAGAUAUCCAAUAAGGCUUGAGUGGGAUGUUCACCAACACCAUCGCCAGCAUUUAUUAGGGGCUUUCUACAGUGUUGAGAUGCUCUCUAUAAAAUAGAUAAUAAUAUAUAGGAUAGUUUAUUCGUCACUUAUCUACUUAUGCAAUAUUUCAAAUAUGUGUGCUUACUGAUACUGCACCAGGUUCUGGAUGUCGAACAACAACGACGUCAGCGUAACCAGCCAUUACGGCUACCGAAUCUGUGAUCGAAAAAAGAUCAUCGAUUAGAAUAUAUAUUAAAAAAAAAAAAAAAAAAA
Long non-coding RNA from Vespa mandarinia (Asian giant hornet), 1735 nucleotides. The record is from RefSeq and is a predicted model, not a curated record. Lineage: Eukaryota; Metazoa; Arthropoda; Insecta; Hymenoptera; Vespidae.